UGUUUAGGGGGACAGCGUCUACCCCGUUCCCAUCCCGAACACGGUAGUUAAGCUUCUCUGCGCCAAUGGUAGUUGGGGGCUUCCCCCUGCGAGAGUAGGUCGCUGCCGGGC
This 111-nucleotide ribosomal RNA is filed under the name Listeria monocytogenes. The record is from RNAcentral. Lineage: Bacteria; Bacillati; Bacillota; Bacilli; Caryophanales; Listeriaceae.